CCGGACAUUGUUUACAUUAGGUCUCGAGGAGAGCUGGCAGAAUGGCGUCAUUCAAGGGGACACUUUGACAAGUGGGCACUGGAUGCUGAGUAUUGAAGGCGAGGUUGUGUGUGAGGGCAUUCAGCCCAGUUUCCUGUCCGGCCUUGCCACUCUGUUUGUUGCCUAUUACUAGUUUAAUCUUGAGUAUGAGGAGAAAGAAGUUUGUACCUUGGUGUUCAUUCAAAGCGCUUUGUGGGCAUAAAUCCGGAGAGAGGAUCCAAAGCCAAGGGAAAAGUGAAAACAAAAAACAGGACAAGUGAUACAGUCAACCCACAUGUUGCCACUCUUCUGUGCCACGUAAUGGAUUUCCAAUGGAAUUUCUGAAAUUCACACUUUGAAUCCUGGGAUGGAACUUCAUCUGGAGCAUAACUGUUAUUUGGUUGAUUUUUAUCUGUUUUUGAUGGAAAGUUUGUAUGACUUGUUUUGCCAUAUUGGUCUAUUUAUUAAGUGAUGAAAGCUAUCUGAAAGCGUCAUUGUGUUUUUAAAAGGAUUAGUUCACCCAAAAAAUGAAAAUUCAGUCAAUAAUUACUUACAUCUUAAUGUGUGUUGUGAAGAUCUUCGUUCAUCUUCACAACACACAUUAAGAUGUGGCUCAGUGAAGCCUGCAUUUCUAGCAAGAUCA
Long non-coding RNA from Carassius gibelio (silver crucian carp), 661 nucleotides. RefSeq lists it as uncharacterized. The transcript has 4 exons. The record is from RefSeq and is a predicted model, not a curated record. NCBI's taxonomy places the organism in Eukaryota, Metazoa, Chordata, Actinopteri, Cypriniformes, Cyprinidae.